Molecule: non-coding RNA, 776 nt
Organism: Callithrix jacchus (white-tufted-ear marmoset)
Lineage: Eukaryota; Metazoa; Chordata; Mammalia; Primates; Cebidae
Source: RefSeq, a predicted model, not a curated record
AUGAGGGACAAAAGAGGGCCCCUUGGCACCUGCCUGGCACCAGUGCAGCGGGCCGGAGGAGGUGAUUUGGACAAACUGUUACACAGCCUUAAGAAAAGAAUGCUGAAGGAGGGCCCCAGGCCUGCAGAUGCACCCUCCUGGAUCAAUAAGCCUGCGGUUGACAGAAAGUCACAGAGUGCUGCAUUAUCACUGGAAAUGAGAAAGGAUCCUAGUGGGGCUGGCCUCUGGCUUCACAGUGGUAACCCAGUGUUUCCACAUGUGAAAGAAUUAAUAAGAAGAAAUCUAGCCUCAGUAGCCACUCCGAGCGCAGCCAUGGGUUUGUUCUCUGCUCCAACAGAGUGUUUUGCUGGGGUGUCCUGCAGUGGUGUUGAAGCUCUGAGGUGGGACUGGCAAGGAGGAGGGCCUGAGGCCGACGGCCACAGAGGACAGUGCCCCAAAGGAGAGCCUCAGGUGUCAGGACUGCCACACCAUCAAAAACUGCUGGAAAUGGGAAGUUGUCAGGAUGACCCACCAAGUGAUUUUCCCGAGGGUCUGGGCUCUGAGUUGGAACCCUCUUGCCUGCACUCCGUCCUGUCUGCAGUGCUGCACGUGUGUCUAGAAGUGCUCCUGGAUGAUGAGACAGAACGAGUUUUCCUUGACUGUUAAAGCCCAUGUUUUCAAAGCAAACAAUAGAAUUCAAGAAAAUGCUUAAAAGCACCUCAAAUGGUCUCCAGAUGACACUGGGGUUACUGGUUCUGCAACCUUUUGAAUUAGCAAAAUCAUUAUGCCAUAGUUAA